AUUGAACGCUGGCGGCAUGCUUUACACAUGCAAGUCGAACGGCAGCGCGGGCUUCGGCCUGGCGGCGAGUGGCGAACGGGUGAGUAAUACAUCGGAACGUGCCCAGUUGUGGGGGAUAGCUCGGCGAAAGACGGAUUAAUACCGCAUACGACCUGAGGGUGAAAGCGGGGGAUCUUCGGAUCUCGCGAUAUUGGAGCGGCCGAUGGCAGAUUAGCUAGUUGGUGGGGUAAAGGCCUACCAAGGCGACGAUCUGUAGCUGGUCUGAGAGGACGACCAGCCACACUGGAACUGAGACACGGCCCAGACUCCUACGGGAGGCAGCAGUGGGGAAUUUUGGACAAUGGGCGAAAGCCUGAUCCAGCAAUGCCGCGUGUGUGAUGAAGGCCUUCGGGUUGUAAAGCACUUUUGGCGGGAACGAAAAGGACUGUGCCAAUACCACGGUUCGAUGACGGUACCCGCAGAAUAAGCACCGGCUAACUACGUG
Molecule: ribosomal RNA, 484 nt
Filed under: uncultured bacterium
Lineage: Bacteria
Description: partial 16S ribosomal RNA
Rfam family: Bacterial small subunit ribosomal RNA
Source: RNAcentral